AUUGAACGCUGGCGGCAUGCCUUACACAUGCAAGUCGAACGGCAGCACGGGUGCUUGCACCUGGUGGCGAGUGGCGAACGGGUGAGUAAUACAUCGGAACAUGUCCUGUAGUGGGGGAUAGCCCGGCGAAAGCCGGAUUAAUACCGCAUACGAUCUACGGAUGAAAGCGGGGGACCUUCGGGCCUCGCGCUAUAGGGUUGGCCGAUGGCUGAUUAGCUAGUUGGUGGGGUAAAGGCCUACCAAGGCGACGAUCAGUAGCUGGUCUGAGAGGACGACCAGCCACACUGGGACUGAGACACGGCCCAGACUCCUACGGGAGGAAGCAGUGGGGAAUUUUGGACAAUGGGCGAAAGCCUGAUCCAGCAAUGCCGCGUGUGUGAAGAAGGCCUUAGGGUUGUAAAGCAAUUUUGUCCGGAAAGAAAUCCUUGGCCCUAAUACGGUCGGGGGAUGACGGUACCGGAAGAAUAAGCACCGGCUAACUACGUG
This 486-nucleotide ribosomal RNA is filed under the name uncultured bacterium. Its description in RNAcentral is "partial 16S ribosomal RNA". It matches the Rfam family "Bacterial small subunit ribosomal RNA", at positions 30 to 507 of the family's 1533-position model. The record is from RNAcentral.